This 468-nucleotide ribosomal RNA is filed under the name uncultured bacterium. RNAcentral describes it as "partial 16S ribosomal RNA". It matches the Rfam family "Bacterial small subunit ribosomal RNA", at positions 28 to 507 of the family's 1533-position model. The record is from RNAcentral.
GACGAACGCUGGCGGCGUGCUUAACACAUGCAAGUCGAACGGAAAGGCCCUGCUUUUGUGGGGUGCUCGAGUGGCGAACGGGUGAGUAACACGUGAGUAACCUGCCCUUGACUUUGGGAUAACUUCAGGAAACUGGGGCUAAUACCGGAUAGGAGCUCCUGCUGCAUGGUGGGGGUUGGAAAGUUUCGGCGGUUGGGGAUGGACUCGCGGCUUAUCAGCUUGUUGGUGGGGUAGUGGCUUACCAAGGCUUUGACGGGUAGCCGGCCUGAGAGGGUGACCGGCCACAUUGGGACUGAGAUACGGCCCAGACUCCUACGGGAGGCAGCAGUGGGGAAUAUUGCACAAUGGGCGGAAGCCUGAUGCAGCAACGCCGCGUGCGGGAUGACGGCCUUCGAGUGAUAAACCACUUUCGCCUGUGACGAAGCGUGAGUGACGGUAAUGGGUAAAGAAGCACCGGCUAACUACGUG